This 287-nucleotide long non-coding RNA is filed under the name Gallus gallus (chicken). Its description in RNAcentral is "long non-coding RNA NONGGAT006552". The record is from RNAcentral. Lineage: Eukaryota; Metazoa; Chordata; Aves; Galliformes; Phasianidae.
AUUUGAACGUGUUUUUCAGUUCAAGGACUGAACUGAGCAGUUCUGCUACAGAAACAACUUUAGCUUUCAUCAGUACAGAAGAGGCUGUGUCUGCAAGAUAAAGAAAGGCAAGUUACCCAAGAGGAAUGCUCCUUCAUCUGGUGCUGGUUGCUGUGAGGCCCACUGGCAUGGCCACGCCAAAAGCAGUUUUGGCAGAGCUGGUAGUUGUGGCACUGUUGGCACCGAUAUCGGAACCCCAUCAUGCUCUCACACCGGCAAUAGGAACACUCCACAGGAUGGAAGACUUG